This is a long non-coding RNA of Equus asinus (donkey), 2312 nucleotides long. Lineage: Eukaryota; Metazoa; Chordata; Mammalia; Perissodactyla; Equidae. The record is from Ensembl.
AAGUUACUCCUGGCCUCAAUGCAUUACAUUAGUACAAACCAUGAAAAGUUCACCACUAAUCAGACUCAUUGGAGAGGAUGAAAACUGCCCGUCCAACAUUGUCUAUCAUAUUAGCUGACAGCACUAAAAAGUAUGCCACUAUUUACAUAUGAGCAUUCACCUAUAAAAUUCUUCCUAAGUUCUCUCCAAGUACCAUUUCUUUAUUCAGUGAGCCACACAAUGGCUGAAGUUUGAAAAAAAUAACAAUGACUCUGUGAAAUUAUGUCCUAUUCCACACUCAACUAAACCAGCUUGGAUCGAUUGCUUUCAUUAUUGUUAUUGACGUCAUUAUUCUUUGUUUUCAAGAAACUCACAUAUGAGUUGGAAUUAGGAACCAAUCAAGACGUAUUUAUUAAGCUGCUAACAAAUGCCUACUAUGGAAUCAGUCACUAUUAGGAACACAAAAUGAGGAAGUACAUGAAGGCAGAACGUCAGAGAAGGAAAUUAAAAUAUACAAAACAAUGCUUUUGCCCAACUGCAGUUCUCAUCACCCAUAAUCAUGGUGGUUAGAAGGUUCUGGAAGAGACUUCUCUACAGGAGACAAGCCAUCCUCUGUCUUCCUCCUCUGCUCCCACCUCUAGCAUGAAUGACCCUAAACCAAUAUGGCCCAAGGGAGAAGAUGACAGCGCUCAAGUCUUCUCUCUUCCACCCAGAGGUUAGAGUGACCAGAACCGGGUUCUGUGUCAGAUCACAUUGGGGCUGCCUUUGAAUAGCAGAUGUCCAGAGUCAGUUCUCUCCCCCAUCACAAGAAGCAGAGAAAGAAAUCAGCUCCCCACCCCAGUGACAAGCACAGGCCUGCUAACUAUUUUUACAGCAGGCAAAGAGUUAAAACCACAGCCUCCAGAAAGGCGCCUGUGGAGUCUUCAGGCAGCUGGCAGAGGAAGCUGGGAGCCUGCACCUCUGGGGAAGCCGGAGACCCAUCUAGGGGUCCAGAUAUUGGGCAGGCUGAAUGAGAGGGACCCCCAGACAGCUGAAGUGGAGGAAGAAUGGAGGAUGGAGCCCAGGGCUGGGAGUUCAAGGCUUUGAUACACAAAUAUGUUUUUCCAGUAUCUUCCUGUUGUGCUUGGAAUUGGAUCUGCCCCACCUCGCCGCACCAAGAGUGUGUAAGAGGGAGAAUUCAGAGCUGACUCCCAUAAUCCUUUAGAAGUAAAACUUUCUAAGUGGUCUCUGCUACGCUUAAAGGAUCCAAACAACACCUGGAAGGCGCUGCUGUGCUUGUUUGGCUCUCACAUCAGCGGGAAGCUUGGGAGCCUCUCGGAUAUUCACUUCCGGCCCCCCGCCUUUGUUUUGGUGCCUCCAAGUGACCUCUGACAUUUAUAGAUUUAUAUAAAAUCGCCUCGAUAUAAAAGCACCUCCAGCACUGCUUCUCUUGGCGGCUCCUCAUCUACUCUCCUCUGUAGUCAGCCCCGGCUCAACGUUUCUUUGCGGGGAGGGAAAGGGGCAUGUCAUCUCUUGCUGUCAGCAGUGGAGACGGGAAGGGGAUGUUAAGAGAAGGUGAAGAGGAAGCUAAAACUGCAGGAAGCAAUCAUGUUACCUCAGUUUCCCCAGACCCACUCAAACCUGGAAGAAACAGAAUCCAUUCACAGAAAAAGUACAAAGAUGGGUUUAGGUCAGGCAGUAGAUAAAAAGCUCCAGUUCCUGCCCUCACACUUAUCCCUUUUCUAAGUGCUGGCUCCCUUUACAAGACAACUUGUCAGAGUUUAUUUCCAUAUUGGCGUCUAUGUCUUCAAGGCACCCAAAGUAUCUUGUGUAUCUUUCAACAGAUCAAAAGGCAGAAAGAAAAAUGUUCUUGGAUCAACUCCUAGAAAAACCUUAAACCAGAUUUUCCUGGGAUAUUUCAGGCCAGUCCAUGCCUGUUAUUCCACACUGUGGCAGCUUUCUUUUAAAAUAUGGAUUAAACAAUGUGAUGAAUGAAAAGAUUAAAAGUUCACAAUUCCAGCAGCACUGGUUUCUAAAUUGCUGGGUUAUCCACUUAAAAACUUCUGUGGACUUAUAUCGUCCUCUCUGCUCUCCGGGGCCACCGCCUUUCUUACAGGGAAAAUGGAGAGCCUGAGCUCUCCAGGCAGAGGGCACCGACGCUUGUCAGGAAUGUUGUAAGGGGGACCAGGCAUCGAUUCCAAAAAGGAGUGGAACCAGGCGGACAUUUGGAUUUGAGUAUUUUCUUGUUACUUGAAAAAGAAUUUGAGUUUAUAAAGAAUAUAAAAUAAUAGAUACAUGGACGAUAUUAACUGGGUUUUUAAUACCUAUAGAUGUCUAUAGAUUGACCAAAUUAC